Long non-coding RNA from Cyanistes caeruleus (blue tit), 469 nucleotides. RefSeq lists it as uncharacterized. The record is from RefSeq and is a predicted model, not a curated record. Lineage: Eukaryota; Metazoa; Chordata; Aves; Passeriformes; Paridae.
AGGGGGUGCUGAGGGGUGCAGGGAGGUGCCCAGAGGAGUGCAGUGCCCUCCAAGGCACGAGACCAGUGCAGGAUCCACACACUGGGAUUGGGGUGCGGGACACAGCUGGUGGCACUCCAGCCAUGCUCCUCGGCACAAAGCAUCAUCCCCUUCCAUCCAGCACUUUCCAGACUGCCCAAACAAAGCUGGGCAGCAGGAGCUCGACGUGAGCUGAAGUACCAGAGGGACCAUCACUCCCCAACAGCGGCUGGAGAAUCCAUUGAUGCUGGCACCCUGAUCCUGAUUCCCUGAAGCCUGACUCAUGGAGUGCUGCAGGUUCGAUGUGAGUCCUGGAGGAUUUUGCAUCUGGGAUGAUAAAUCCGGAUGGAGUUGCCUCUUGUAGCUGCCCAUGGCUCUUCCACAUCUUAAUAAAACUGCUGAUAGUAGGGGAGAAAAAGGAUGUGAAAUAAAGAUUAUCAAAAAGUCAAUA